AGCUUUGCGCAGUGGCAGUAUCGUAGCCAAUGAGGUUUAUCCGAGGCGCGAUUAUUGCUAAUUGAAAAAGACAAGAGAUAAGUUUUAGCAAGGAUGUGGACACAAAGGAACCCUUCUUAUACCAUUGUUGGACAUGUGAAUUGGUACA
This is a small nuclear RNA of Neomonachus schauinslandi (Hawaiian monk seal), 148 nucleotides long. RefSeq annotates it as U4 spliceosomal RNA. The transcript has a single exon. The record is from RefSeq and is a predicted model, not a curated record. Lineage: Eukaryota; Metazoa; Chordata; Mammalia; Carnivora; Phocidae.